RNAcentral lists this long non-coding RNA (430 nucleotides) under Mytilus galloprovincialis (Mediterranean mussel). The record is from RNAcentral. Lineage: Eukaryota; Metazoa; Mollusca; Bivalvia; Mytilida; Mytilidae.
GUAGAAACUCGCUGCAUCCAAUCAAAAAGCGCCUAUACCAUGAUCACGUGUAAAUGUAGAAAGUGUUUGUAAACAAUUGCCACGUGUUUAUUGUGCAACAAGUCUUUACAUCUAUUAAACUUACGACUAUAUUUAGUGACAACUUGAAUGUUUUUAAUCAACUAAUAGAAGUUUCUGUGUAUGUUUCAUGCACAAAUGCAUGAAUGUUGACGUAUAUUUUCGUUUCCGGCUUUACCAAGUGUGUAGAAUCUAGACGCUACCGUGUUCUUACCUCCAAACUGAAGAGUUCAAGUGCUACCAUUGGUCAAAAAUAAUGUAUUCGGAAUGGGCGUGACUUUAAUCUUCCGAUAGAUGGCGCAACAUUAAUAUCACAAAUGUUGGCUCAAUCUGCCAAGGGUGAAGAGAGCGGGAGUGGAUCGUAACCCUUGGC